Pelobates cultripes (western spadefoot toad) is the source of this 229-nucleotide non-coding RNA. Lineage: Eukaryota; Metazoa; Chordata; Amphibia; Anura; Pelobatidae. The record is from the annotation of a GenBank genome assembly.
AACGCUGCAACAAUGCCUAUUUAAAAUGGCUGAUGAAGGUGCAGCCACAAAGCAUGCUGCUUAAGUGUCAGUGCAAAGCUGGGAAGAAGGAUUCUUUAGGGUGUUCGAUGCCAUAUUUCUGCACUUCUGAGGAGAUCUGAGGAGACAAAAGCAGCAACCCACAUGGUCGGUCCCUGUGGCCCAGCUAGUUUCCAGGGUUCUUGCUCAGAAGCUCCCCUUGAGAUGGUAC